GCAGUAGCCGCGGGAAUACGAAGGGGGCUAGCGUUGUUCGGAAUUACUGGGCGUAAAGCGCACGUAGGCGGAUAUUUAAGUCAGGGGUGAAAUCCAGAGCUCAACUCUGGAACUGCCUUUGAUACUGGGUAUCUUGAGUAUGGAAGAGGUGAGUGGAAUUCCGAGUGUAGAGGUGAAAUUCGUAGAUAUUCGGAGGAACACCAGUGGCGAAGGCGGCUCACUGGUCCAUUACUGACGCUGAGGUGCGAAAGCGUGGGGAGCAAACAGGAUUAGAGACCCCAGUAGUCCCUGUCUCUUAUACA
Molecule: ribosomal RNA, 302 nt
Filed under: uncultured bacterium
Lineage: Bacteria
Description: partial 16S ribosomal RNA
Rfam family: Bacterial small subunit ribosomal RNA
Source: RNAcentral